RNAcentral lists this ribosomal RNA (397 nucleotides) under uncultured bacterium. RNAcentral's name for it is "partial 16S ribosomal RNA". It matches the Rfam family "Bacterial small subunit ribosomal RNA", at positions 338 to 732 of the family's 1533-position model. The record is from RNAcentral.
CCUACGGGAGGCAGCAGUGAGGAAUAUUGGUCAAUGGGCGCGAGCCUGAACCAGCCAAGUAGCGUGAAGGAUGACUGCCCUACGGGUUGUAAACUUCUUUUAUAAAGGAGUAAAGUGAGGCACGUGUGCCUUUUUGUAUUGACUUUAUGAGAAAGGGACGUCUAACUCCGCGCCAGCAGACGCGGUAAUACGGAGGAUACGAGCGUUAUCCGGAUUUAUAGGGUUUAAAGGGAGCGUAGAUGGGUUGUUAAGUCAGUUGUGAAAGUUUGCGGCUCAACCGUAAAAUUGCAAUUGAUACUGGCAGUCUUGAGUACAGUUGAGGUAGGCGGAAUUCGUGGUGUAGCGGUGAAAUGCUUAGAUAUCACGAAGAACUCCGAUUGCGAAGGCAGCUUACUAA